UGGGCUGGGCUGGACAGUGCUUGGACUGUGCCGGGCUGAGCUAAACUGGGCUGCGCUGGGCUGAACUGGGCUGUGCUGGGCUGUGCUGGUCUGGGCUGAGCUGGGCUGGGCUGGGCUGGGCUGGACUGGGCUGAGCUGGGCUGAACUGGGCUGGGCUGGUCUGGGCUGUGCUGGGCUGUGCUGCGCCGGUCUGGGCUGUGCUGGUCUGGGCUGAGCUGGGCUGGGCUGGGCUGGGCUGGACUGGGCUGAGCUGGGCUGAACUGGGCUGGGCUGGACUGGGCUGGUCUGGGCUGUGCUGGGCUGAACUGGGCUGUGCUGCGCUGGUCUGGGCUGUGGCUCUGCGGUCCCGGGCGAGCGGCUCCGCAGGUGGUGAGCGUAUAUGGCUCCCGGGAUCGCCCUCCCGUCCUGACCGGCUCGGCCAUGCCCCUGCCCCCGCAGCCCCUCCUCUUCCUCCUCCUCCUCCUCCUCCUGCUCCUCCUCGGGACCCUGGGCAGGGCCGGACCCAGAUCCCAGGAGGACCAUGGAGGUCAGAGAGGGGCUGGGGAAGCUCAUUACGAUCCUAAGAGACUGAAAAUCCAACAACUGAG
RNAcentral lists this long non-coding RNA (587 nucleotides) under Ornithorhynchus anatinus (platypus). Its description in RNAcentral is "lncRNA (ENSOANG00000013162.4)". Lineage: Eukaryota; Metazoa; Chordata; Mammalia; Monotremata; Ornithorhynchidae. The record is from RNAcentral.